AAGCCGUGAGCAUUAAAAUUUUUUUGUUUGACGAGUUUGGUUGCUGUGCAAUCUGAACGGUAAGUAAUUCUACCGAUUACUUUUGCUUCUCUUUGUUGUCUUCUUUUCUUUUUCUUCCUUUUUUUGUUCUUUGUUUUCUUAUUCUUUUGUAGGGUUGAAAAUAAAUAGCAAUGCGCAUUAAUGGUGGCCAUCGGCUUAAGGUGCGAGAGUUUAACUUCGCCUCCAUUACCUUAAGUCUGACCAAUUUUAUUUGAAGAUGGUGAACAUUGGCUUAAGGUGCGAGAGUUUAACUUCACCUCCAUCACCUUAAGUCCCUUAAGUCCGACCAAUUUUACUUGAAGAUGGUGCAAUGAUUUUCCUUUCACCGAUGUAUUUAUGCGAUAAUCUUCUCUAAGUAUGGGCCCUUUUCAAUGUUCAGCUUAAGGCGUGAGAGUCUAACUUUGCCUCUCUUACCCUAAGACCUGACGAAUUCGACUUCAAAUAUACGUGACUAUAUUUCACCAGAGCCAAACACAUGAAGAACCUUUUUUUCCUUUGUCUUUUUCUUUGCCGGUAUAUAUAUAGAUUUUUUCGAAUCUUGACUUCGUGUCUAAUAGAGAUUCUUUUAUUUAUGCAGCUUGAAGAGAUGGUUCGCUUUAGAGACUACACAUCUUCAUCCUCUAAAAGCAAGUAUCUUCUAAUUGAAGCCGAUGACGGUAUCAUUUUAACCAGGCUAUUGACUGAAACUCCAAUGGUAGGCAGGUAUGCAGAUCCGUGGCCACCCUUGCAAAAUUCUCUCCAUAUGUCGGAUUGGACUUCAGAACAUGACAUUGGUGCUAAUUGUUUUGCGGAAAAAUUUUAACUUUUUGAGAGUCGCCACUUAAUUUUGAAAAAGGAAUUAAGAAACCUUUAAAGAGUUACUUCAAACGAUUCAAAACAGAAAAAUCGUUUUAAGUUUUAAAGAUUCCGAGUAAGUGGUUCCUAUUAACGUUUUAGGAAGUAUUAGGCACCUAAAACGUCCGCUAACUUGCGGUUAUCCGGACUGUUUGAAAACAUCUUUUGAUUAACUUCUGAAAAGAUUAAUUUGUUGAAAUAGUGAUUUGAUUUUUUAUUUUUUAAAAAAAAACUUGUGUAAAAUAGAUUUAGGCGACUUAGUAGGGAUUUUAACUAAAUCUAAACAAAACUAAUAAACAAAUAAACACAUAAAAGGGGAAGGGAGGACCAUUGGGCCCAAAUCAACGAGACCUGUCCUAGUUUAGUUGGGCUUCCGAUCCAUUUCACCUGUUCUAAACUAUUUUUCGAGCCUUUGACUCGAGUCUUGCUCCACCUAUAUUAAAUACAACUUUGGCUUCGAGGCCGAAAUGAAUGAAUAAAUAAAUAACUAAAUGAAUAAAUAAAAAGAAGACAAUAAUAAAAAUUGAGACUUUUCAAGUCUCUUAGUGACCCCAUCAAUGGGUUUUGAUCCAUUUUCCUUCUUCGUCUAUCUUCUAGCACCCGCACGCCAUGUAAUGGACCUCAGGUUUAAAAUUCGAACUUGACUCGAAGGGGUAGACCUCAUUGGCCCAUUACAAAAUGCAAGAGGAGAGGAAUCCAUUUGGCCUCGAGAUAUAUUUUGCAAGCAAAGAAAAGAUAAAGAAAUUAAUAUAUGUUCAAGGUGUAAAAGUGACAUAUUUCAAAGUAAAAGAAACUAUCAAGAACCAAUUUUUGAAUGAUAAGAAUAAACAUACUUGCACAACAAGGAGAGUCAACAAAUAAAAAAUGCAAAGCAAAGACACUCCUUUACAUGCCUCAUGAUUUAUGUUCAUAUUAAGAAUGAAUAAAGGUAAAAGAAGAAGGUCAUAUUCAAUGAAUUAAUGCGAGAAACAAACAACGUAAGCUUGCGAAAUUAAAGGGAUGAG
RNAcentral lists this long non-coding RNA (1877 nucleotides) under Capsicum annuum. Its description in RNAcentral is "long non-coding RNA (CANN_LNC005841)". The record is from RNAcentral. Lineage: Eukaryota; Viridiplantae; Streptophyta; Magnoliopsida; Solanales; Solanaceae.